Podarcis lilfordi (Lilford's wall lizard) is the source of this 8417-nucleotide non-coding RNA. The record is from the annotation of a GenBank genome assembly. NCBI's taxonomy places the organism in Eukaryota, Metazoa, Chordata, Lepidosauria, Squamata, Lacertidae.
CAGAUAUAUGGAGAAAUGUGACUCAAAGAAGUAAAAGGCCCAGGGUUCGCUCUGAUUGUUUAGAAAUACACAAUCGCUUUGAGGUCCUCUCCCCUAGCAUGGAAGACGAAGAGCAGACUCCAUUUGAGGCUCUCUCCCUCAUUACAGUCGAUCAGGUAUAUGAAGACAAGCAGCAAAGUCAGUCCUCAGGGAAUGUGCAGGCGACCUUGGAACGAACAGCUCACGGAAGAACCCCAACCAAACCUAAGAGGAGGCGUGUAGUGGUGAUAGGGGAUUCCCUACUGAGGGGAACAGAAGCAGUGAUCUGUGGGCCUGACAAGAUGUCUCGGGAAGUGUGCUGUCUCCCGGGGGCUAAGAUCCAAGAUGUAACUGAACGACUGCAAGGAAUCAUAAAACCCACUGACAAAUACCCCUUCCUCUUGGUUCAUGUGGGAACCAAUGACACUGCAAGCAAUAGCCUCCAGAAGAUCAAAAGAGACUACGAGGCUCUGGGCAGGAAAUUGAAGCAAUUAAAUGCACAAAUUGUCAUCUCAUCUGUCCUCCCAGUUGAACGAGGUGGCCCAGGGAGAGAGGGGAAAAUAGUGGGAGUGAACAGCUGGCUUCGCAAAUGGUGUAAACAGGAACGGUUUGGAUUCUUAGAUCACGGACUGCAGUUUCUUGAAGAUGGACUUCUGGCAAGCGAUGGGCUGCACCUCACAACGGUUGGGAGGAAUGUUUUUGCCAAAAAUCUCAGAAACCUCAUGAGGAGGGCUUUAAACUGACUAAUGUGGGGGAGGGAGACAGUGCUCCUGAAGGUAGGAGUCUAUCAAUUGAUGAAGAUGAUCAUCCAAAUGUCAUAGACCAAAUGGAGCAAACAGCACGCAGACCUAGUGGUGGGAGGAAAAAAUCCUUAAAUAAGAGACACGGGGGGAAUGAUUAAUGGACUUCAAUGUCUGUACACUAAUGCGCAAAGCAUGGGAAAUAAAGAAGAUGAGCUUGAGCUCUUGGUACAGCAAACUAAAUAUGACAUAAUAGGCAUCACUGAAACCUGGUGGGAUAAGUCCCACGAUUGGAAUGUAAUAAUGGAGGGAUACAAUCUAUUUCAGAGAAACAGACCAGACAAGAAAGGAGGAGGAGUGGCGUUAUAUGUCAGGGAUGUGUAUACCUGUGAAGAGAUUCAAGAUUUAGAACCUCAAAGCCAAAGUGAGAGCAUUUGGGUCGAAAUGAAGGGAGAGAAGAAUAACAGUGACCUCAUUGUGGGAGUUUACUAUAGAUCCCCAAGCCAAACGGAGGACAUAGAUGAUCCCUUCCUGGAACAGAUGGCCAAGCAUGCAAAAGGAAGGGAGAUAGUAGUAUGGGGGCUUCAAUUACCCGGAUAUUUGUUGGAUGUCAAACUCAGCCAAGAUUCCUCACUGGCCUUGCAGACAACUUCAUUGUCCAGAAAGUGGGAGAAGCAACAAGAGGAACAGCCAUUUUAGAUCUGGUCCUAACCAGUGUUGAUGACCUGGUUAGUGGGGUAGAAGUGGUUCAGUGAUUCAGCAGAGGAAACACAGCCCAGAAUAACUAAGGAGAUAGUACAAGAAUACUUGGCUAGUCUAGAUGUAUUCAAGUCUCCAGGGCCAGAUGAACUGCAUCCAAGAGUAUUAAAAGAACUGGCAGAUGUGAUCUCAGAACCACUGGCAGUCAUCUUUGAGAAUUCCUGGAGAAUAGGCGAAGUCCCGGCAGACUGGAGGAGGGCAAAUGUUGUCCCUAUUUUCAAAAAGGGAAAAGAGAGGACCCAAAUAAUUACCGCCCAGUCAGUCUGACAUCAAUACCAGGGAAGAUUCUGGAGCAGAUCAUUAAGCAAACAGUCUGUGAGCACCUAGAAAGGAAUGCUGUGAUCACCAAUAGUCAGCAUGGAUUUCUGAAAAAUAAGUCAUGUCAGACUAACCUGAUCUCAUUUUUGACAGAAUUACAAGCCUGGUAGAUGAAGGGAACGCAGUGGAUGUAGCCUACCUUGAUUUCAGCAAGGCAUUUGACAAGGUGCCCCAUGAUAUUCUUGUAAAGAAGCUGGUAAAAUGCGGUCUUGACUAUGCUACCACUCAGUGGAUUUGUAACUGGCUGACUGACCGAACCCAAGGGUGCUCAUCAAUGGUUCCUCUUCAUCCUGGAGAAGAGUGACUAGUGGGGUGCCACAGGGUUCUGUCUUGGGCCCGGUCUUAUUCAACAUCUUUAUCAACGACUUGGAUGAUGGACUCAAGGGCAUUCUGAUCAAAUUUGCAGAUGACACCAAACUGGGAGGGGUGGCUAACACCCCAGAGGACAGGAUCACACUUCAAAACGACCUUGACAGAUUAGAGAACUGGGCCAAAACAAACAAGAUGAAUUUUAACAGGGAGAAAUGUAAAGUAUUGCACUUGGGCAAAAAAAAUGAGAGGCACAAAUACAAGAUGGGGACACCUGGCUUGAGAGCAGUACAUGUGAAAAGGAUCUAGGAGUCUUGGUUGACCACAAACUUGACAUGAGCCAACAGUGUGACGCGGCAGCUAAAAAGCCAAUGCAAUUCUGGGCUGCAUCAAUAGGAGUAUAGCAUCUAGAUCAAGGGAAGUAAUAGUGCCACUGUAUUCUGCUCUGGUCAGACCUCACCUGGAGUACUGUGUCCAGUUCUGGGCACCACAGUUCAAGAAGGAAACUGACAAACUGGAACGUAUCCAGAGGAGGGCAACCAAAAUGGUCAAAGGCCUGGAAACGAUGCCUUAUGAGGAACGGCUAAGGGAGCUGGGCAUGUUUAGCCUGGAGAAGCGGAGGUUAAGGGGUGAUAUGAUAGCCAUGUUCCAAUAUAGAAAAGGAUGUCACAUAGAGGAGGGAGAAAGGUUGUUUUCUGCUGCUCCAGAGAAGCGGACACGGAGCAAUGGAUCCAAACUACAAGAAAGAAGAUUCCACCUAAACAUUAGGAAGAACCUCCUGACAGUAAGAGCUGUUCGACAGUGGAAUUUGCUGCCAAGGAGUGUGGUGGAGUCUCCUUCUUUGGAGGUCUUUAAGCAGAGGCUUGACAACCAUAUGUCAGGAGUGCUCUGAUGGUGUUUCCUGCUUGGCAGGGGGUUGGACUCGAUGGCCCUUGUGGUCUCUUCCAACUCUAUGAUUCUAUGAUUCUAAAAAAUUUUGUCCUCUUGGUUCCUGGGUUUUCCAGUCAGCUUUGCCAUUUCGGCAUCCGCUUAGCUUGCCAUUCUUCUCUGGUAAGGACUUUGUCUUCUUUCCAUCUCUGGGAUAGUAACAUCCGAGCGGCUGUUGUCACAUACAUAAAAAGGAUUUUCUGCUCCUUUGGGAUGUUAGUACCUAUAAUUCCUAAUAAGAAAGCUUCUGUUUUUUUAACAAAGGCAUUUUAAACUUUUUUUUUAUUUCAUUAUAUAUCAUCUCCCAGAAGGCUUUUAUUACCUUACAAGUCCACCACAUAUGAUAAAAAGUACCUUCUUUUUCUUUACAUUGCCAGCAAGUAUUUGUACUUGUCCUAUACAUUUUUGCUAACUUACUAGGAGUCAAAUACCACCAGUACAUCAUUUUCAUAUAAUUUUAUUUCAAACAUGCCAUAAAUUUCAAGUUUGUUUUCCAUAACCUUUUCCAAUAUGCCAUCUAAAUAUUAUGUCCCAAAUCCUUUGCCCAGUGUAUCAUUACUGACUUGACCUGUUCAUCUUUUGUAUGCCAUUCUAAGAGCAAACUGUACAUUUUUGACAAUAAAUUGGGAUUAUUUUCUAAUAGAUCUUUUUGAAAUCUUGCUAUCUCACAAUUAAAACCUUUCUUAUUGUCUUUUAAAAAUAUCAUUUAGUUGGUGAAACUCUAACCAAUCCAUUAAUAAAUCCCUUAUCUCCUCAUAGUCUUUUAGUUUUACUUGGUGUUCUACUUUGGUUAACAGCUCUCUAUAUGUCAGCCAAUUACUUCUCAUAUUCAGUUUUUUUCUGAGAUAUUGCUUCUAAAGGGGAGAGCCACCAAGGUGGUUUUUUUGUUCUAAUAAGUUUUUAUAUUUUUCCCAUACCAUAAAAAAUGAUUUUCUUAUUAAAUGAUUCUGAAAAUCUUUGUGUACCUUUGCUUUUUCAUACCAUAAAUAUGCAUGCCAUCCAAAUCUAUUAUCAUGUCCUUCUAAAUCUAAAAUAUCUGCAUUUUUCAAUGUUAUCCAUUCCUGGAUCCAGCAAAUUCAGGAUGCCUUAUAGUAGAAUUUUUAAUCUGGUAAGGCGAAAGCAUCUGUUAGCAAUUUAUAUUUUAUCCUUGGUUUCUUCCCCUGCCAAAUAAAUCUAGAAAUAUCUUUUUGCCAUUCCUUGAAGUGUCCUGCACUGCCGAUCACCAGUAUCGACUGAAAUAAAAAUAACAUUCUUGGCAAUACAUUCAUUUUUAUCACUGAUAUUCUUCCCCAAAAAGAUAAAUUCAUCCUACCUCAAAUCUCUCUUUGUUUCUUUCAAAGUACUUUUAAAAGACAUCUGAAGGCAGCCCUGUUUAGGGAAGUUUUUAAUGUUUAAUGCUGUAUUUUGUUUUUAAUAUUUGAUUGGGACCCUCCCAAAGUGGCUGGGGAAACCCAGCCAGAUGGGUGGGGUGUUAAUAAAUUCUUAUUCUUAUUAAAUUUAUGCAUUUUGUUGGAUAAAGAAUCCUCUCUACAGCUUUACUAGCAUCCCAGACCAUCUUUCUGCCUGUUUCUUGAUUUAAAUUUAGCUCAGAAUAAUCCCUCAGUGCUUUUUCUGCUUUUAGUAAGAUGUUCUGGUUAUCUAGAAGUUAUCUAGAAGUCCCUCAUUUAAUCUCCAUCUACACAGGGUAUUUUUCUCUCCCUUUAAUUCAAGUAUUAUUAAAUUAUGGUUCAAAAGUGUUCUUGGUUGUGUUUCUACCUUUUAGGCCUGUAUCGAUAAUUCUCUCGAGAGCCAUACUGAGUCAAUUCUUCCACUGCACUGGUGUGGUUCUGAAAAAAAAUGUGAAUUCCCUAUCCAGUGGGUGUUUAAAUCUCCAAAUACCUAUCAAACCAAAAUUCUCCACCAUUUUUAAAAAGGUUGUGGGUAGUCUCCCUUCCUUUGUUUCUGUUUUUCUUAUUGUUCUGUCCAUCUCUAGGGAGACUACCCCAUUUGUAUCUCCCAUUAAAAUUAUCUUCUGGUCCAUAUAUUCCAACAUAUUAUCUUCUAACAUUUUAAAAAAAUUCUGACUCUCUUAUUCGGUGCAUAUAUUCUAAUUAAGAUUAUUUUCUCGCUUUGUGAUGUUAUUUGUACUGCAAUCAUUCUUCUCUUCACAUCCUUAAAUAAUUGUUUUGGCUCCAGUUUGGGUUUUACAUAUGAUACCACUUUUCUUUCUCUUUUCUGAGUUACAAAUUCCAAUUCAAUUAUUUUAUUUAUCAAGACUCUUCUAUGUUUUUUUUAGCUACAUGAGUGUCUUUUAAGUAAAUUAUAUCUAAAUUCUGUUUUUGCAACACUUGUACUAUUUUAUUUCCUUUUGCCUUCCCAUUAAGGCCAUUUACAUUCCAAGUUAAUACUUUUAAAUCUACCAUUCUGAUUUGUUUUAAAAUUUUAUUAUUUCUAGUUAUCUAAUUACGAGUCUUGUUGCUUUUCUACCUCUUCUUGUCUUCGCUCCCCUUCGCCUUCUGUCAAGGGCUUCACUUCUCCUAAUUCUUUUUUAUACUUUCUCCAAAAUUUCUGUACCUCUGAUAUGUCUCUGUACCUUUGUUUCUUACCCUUCUGGGAAUUCCCAUCUAUAUGGAAUUACUUUUCAGAGCAUAUGUCAGAAAUUUGUAAUUAGUUAGUUUUUAAAGUAAUCCAAUAGGUAUCUCCUUCAGGAUGAUUGAAUUCUGUUCUCCUAUUUGUAAUCUUUUUUGAUAAUUUGUAAUCUUUUUUGAUAAUUCAUUUUUAAUAUUGUAUCCUUUAUUACACAUGAAUUAAAAAUUACUAGGCAAUCUCCUGGCAAUCAAGCAUAACUUGAUUUAACUCUGAAGCCUCUGUCUAUCAAAUUUCCCACCAAUUCUUCCUGAAUCCGUGUCCAUUCUGACAGCUCCUUAAUUAAUGUGGAAUUCAGGCAUGGCCAAACUUGGCCCUCCAGCUGUUUUGGGACUAUAAUUCCCAUCACUCCUGCCCACUGGUCCUGUUAGCUAGGGAUGAUGGGAGUUGUAGUCCCAAAACAGCUGGAGGGCCAAGUUUGGCCAUGCUUGAUUUAGAUCCUAUAUCCUCCUCUCAUUCUUCUGGAAUUCCCCAGAAGCACAUUUCCAAUACUGCUAUUGCAUCCCAAGCUGAUUCCUGCAAGGCCCUCGCUUCUGCAAACCCCUUCCUCAAUUUCUCUUGAUCUUUUAUCCAGUCUUUUCCCUCUGCCUGUGCUUUCUUUGUCUUUUCUUUUAAACUUUGUGUCUUAGUUUUAAGCUCCUGUGCUGAUAUUCCCAAAGCUGUCGUCUUAUUUGUCAAUUAUUUAAUUUGUCCUGUCAAGUCUAGUACAAAUUUUGUAUUCUGAUCCAGUUGACCCCCCCAAUGUUUUUGCAUUCUCCCUCAUUUCCUUUCUUAAAUCCAUAAUCAUCUCUGCAAUAUCAGUUUUUGGUUCUAAUUCCUGGGCGGAACCCCUUCUCCCCUGUCCUGGAGUUGCCACUGAGGCUCCUGUUGGAAUGGAGGGGGGGGGGUUGCCGCCAUAUCUAAAUAUUUAUAAUUCUAUGGUUUAUUUCUAUUAAUUAACACAAUCUUUCCCAAUUUUAUCACAAGUUUUAUCGGAUGUACUUUUUUCUGUCUGCUAGGUGUCACACUUUCUCUUUUCAACAGAGAAAACAAAAAAAAAAUCCAGAUGCAAUUACAACUUCCCAUCAACAGAUGUCCUCCUCCCCUCCCCUCCCCUCCCCUUCUAUCUCCCCCUGUUUAAAAACACUUCUUCUGUUUUGCUGACUGUCCUCAAAACAAAGUUCUGCUCACCCAAAGGGAAAGGUUAUUUAUAGUCUUUCCUGUCAUUCUCUGUAACGAAAUACACAGGGGGAAUGGAAGAAAGCCUGGAAAAUGGCUUUACUCUCUGAGCUUUUCUUACUCCAACCAAACAACACCUUAAAAGGCAAAUUCAAUCCCCCCCAACAAGAAAAGGGAAAGGGUACCCUUCACUCAGGAAUCAAAUCCAAUGUUAAACUCACAGGAUAAAAAUAAAAAUAAAAAAAUGAUAAAACCAGAGAGCCAGGAAUCCAGUGUCCAGAGGAAUAUUUCUUCAGCUUCUUAAAGCCCAAUCCAGGAGUGUUCCCAGGCUUUUGUUUUAGUUUGUUCCCCAUAGGCCCAAAUCAAUCAAGAUAAUGAUAAUGAAGAAGAAAUAUAUUUUAAAAAUUGAAUUAUAAUAGCAAAGAUGCUACGGAAAAGAGGUUUAGUCCUGGUGUCAUUAAAGACUCUCGUUGGGAAGAUGCCCCAGGAGGCCAAUAACGCUUUGCGCCUAACCAGUAUGGAGGGAAUUUUUGGUGACUGGAAGGAGAGCAGUACUUUUGGAACCGAUGGUGGUAGUAUAAAAGUUUCACUGUACUGAGAUCUAUUAGCGGAGGCCUAAUCUGAAGGAGUUGCCUUAGAUGAUCUUUGACCUCUCUCGGGUUAAUCCACCUUGGGGACCUGGGGUCACUGCUGCGUAUAGUUAGACAUAUUUUGUUUGGUUGUAAGAUCAGAGAUUGAAAGUCCAGUUGAGAUUUUAGGAGAUGAACACCAGUACCACUUUCAUGUCUAACAGGGAGGUACACCACUGUCUCUUUAAAUCCCUCGGAGGCAGAGUGAGGUUGUGCUGCAGCUCCAGCAAAUGGGCCUCAAGCUUUUGGUGGAGAUUAUUCACCUGCAUGGAGAUCCCAUUUAUGCUCUUAAAGAUGCAGUGCAGGGUCCUGGUUAUUAAUUGGAAGUGCUCGAAUCCCAAACCAUCGCCCAGGGCCAACUCGGACUCCCCCUUCGAGGUGACUCUCACUUCUUUGUCAUUAUCAUUAGCAUUUUUCGUUGCCUUCGAGUUCACCCCCUCCACUUCUAUAUCGGGUACGAGGUCAAUUAAAGGAUUAAAACGAUUGUGAGUUUCAACCGUGUAGCUAUCUUCCUUGUUAUUUCUGCUACAGUUAAGAAAGAAGGAAUCAAUCUUAGACUGUUUGGGCCUCAGGGGAGGCAUUGCCUCAUCCAGGUCCCUUGGCCGCUUGCCAUGGCCCAUAGUGGAGAUUAGGAGAGAUAUCCGCAAUAAUUGGAAUUGUCUUAAUGCACCUUAGAGAGUAUUGCGGGAGGCAGGGGAGUGGUGAGCGAAGAAAAAUAAGAUAAAGUUCGUUGCUUACUUACAAUUCUCAAUCAAUUGUCCACAAGUACAUGAAGAUACAAUCCUAAUUUGAAGUGUUCAAGGAAGUUCUGGUGAAGGCUUCUCUGCCUUCCUCCCAGGGAGCGACAAUUGUAGCCAGUAGACAAAACUGCAAGUCAGUCACAGAGGCAGGCUUCAACGGGCGUCCAUUGUUGGGGUAAAUCAGGUUGAGCAGU